RNAcentral lists this ribosomal RNA (515 nucleotides) under Thermus sp. NMX2.A1. RNAcentral's name for it is "bacterial SSU rRNA". It matches the Rfam family "Bacterial small subunit ribosomal RNA", at positions 1019 to 1533 of the family's 1533-position model. The record is from RNAcentral. Lineage: Bacteria; Thermotogati; Deinococcota; Deinococci; Thermales; Thermaceae.
CGAGGGAGCCCCAGCACAGGUGCUGCAUGGCCGUCGUCAGCUCGUGUCGUGAGAUGUUGGGUUAAGUCCCGCAACGAGCGCAACCCCUGCCCUUAGUUGCCAGCGGGUUAGGCCGGGCACUCUAAGGGGACUGCCUGCGAAAGCAGGAGGAAGGCGGGGACGACGUCUGGUCAUCAUGGCCCUUACGGCCUGGGCGACACACGUGCUACAAUGCCCACUACAGAGCGAGGCGACCCAGCGAUGGGGAGCGAAUCGCAAAAAGGUGGGCGUAGUUCGGAUUGGGGUCUGCAACCCGACCCCAUGAAGCCGGAAUCGCUAGUAAUCGCGGAUCAGCCAUGCCGCGGUGAAUACGUUCCCGGGCCUUGUACACACCGCCCGUCACGCCAUGGGAGCGGGUUCUACCCGAAGUCGCCGGGAGCCUUAGGGCAGGCGCCGAGGGUAGGGCUCGUGACUGGGGCGAAGUCGUAACAAGGUAGCUGUACCGGAAGGUGCGGCUGGAUCACCUCCUUUCUAAG